RNAcentral lists this ribosomal RNA (574 nucleotides) under uncultured Promicromonospora sp. Its description in RNAcentral is "bacterial SSU rRNA". It matches the Rfam family "Bacterial small subunit ribosomal RNA", at positions 334 to 918 of the family's 1533-position model. The record is from RNAcentral. Lineage: Bacteria; Bacillati; Actinomycetota; Actinomycetes; Micrococcales; Promicromonosporaceae.
GAUUCCUACGGGAGGCAGCAGUGGGGAAUAUUGCACAAUGGGCGAAAGCCUGAUGCAGCGACGCCACGUGAGGGAUGACGGCCUUCGGGUUGUAAACCUCUUUCAGCAGGGAAGAAGCGCAAGUGACGGUACCUGCAGAAGAAGCGCCGGCUAACUACGUGCCAGCAGCCGCGGUAAUACGUAGGGCGCAAGCGUUGUCCGGAAUUAUUGGGCGUAAAGAGCUCGUAGGCGGUCUGUCGCGUCUGGUGUGAAAUCCCAUGGCUCAACUGUGGGCUUGCAUCGGGUACGGGCAGACUAGAGUGCUGUAGGGGAGACUGGAAUUCCUGGUGUAGCGGUGGAAUGCGCAGAUAUCAGGAGGAACACCGAUGGCGAAGGCAGGUCUCUGGGCGGUUACUGACGCUGAGGAGCGAAAGCAUGGGGAGCGAACAGGAUUAGAUACCCUGGUAGUCCAUGCCGUAAACGUUGGGCACUAGGUGUGGGGCGGGUUCCACUCGUUCUGUGCCGUAGCUAACGCAUUAAGUGCCCCGCCUGGGGAGUACGGCCGCAAGGCUAAAACUCAAAUGAAUUGACGGGG